CCAGCCCGCUCAGAAACUACAAAGGAAGUUGACGGGGGCCCCGCACAAGCGGUGGAGCAUGUGGUUUAAUUCGAUGAUACGCGAGGAACCUUACCUGGGCUCAAAUGUAUGUUGACGUAUUCUGAAAGGGAUACUUCUUCGGACAAUAUACAAGGUGCUGCAUGGUUGUCGUCAGCUCGUGCCGUGAGGUGUCGGGUUAAGUCCCAUAACGAGCGCAACCCCUAUCAUUAGUUGCCAUCAGGUCAAGCUGGGGACUCUAAUGAAACUGCCUACGCAAGUAGUGAGGAAGGUGGGGAUGACGUCAAAUCAGCACGGCCCUUACGUCCAGGGCUACACACGUGCUACAAUGGCCGGUACAAAGGGCAGCUACCUGGUGACAGGAUGCUAAUCUCAAAAGCCGGUCUCAGUUCGGAUCGGAGUCUGCAACCCGACUCCGUGAAGCUGGAUUCGCUAGUAAUCGCGCAUCAGCCAUGGCGCGGUGAAUACGUUCCCGGGCCUU
Molecule: ribosomal RNA, 499 nt
Filed under: uncultured Sphingobacteriales bacterium
Lineage: Bacteria; Pseudomonadati; Bacteroidota; Sphingobacteriia; Sphingobacteriales
Description: bacterial SSU rRNA
Rfam family: Bacterial small subunit ribosomal RNA
Source: RNAcentral